RNAcentral lists this ribosomal RNA (980 nucleotides) under Alexandrium catenella. RNAcentral describes it as "partial large subunit ribosomal RNA". It matches the Rfam family "Eukaryotic large subunit ribosomal RNA", at positions 124 to 1062 of the family's 3401-position model. Lineage: Eukaryota; Dinophyceae; Gonyaulacales; Pyrocystaceae. The record is from RNAcentral.
GAGCUAUUGGCUUUGAAUUGUAUUGUGGAAAUGUAUUACCAACAGAGGUGCAGGUGCCAGCCUAUUGAAAUAAAGCGUCAAUGAGGGUGAGAAUCCUGUUUGUCAUGUGCAGCCCUUUGUGCACGGUGUAUAUUUGCUGAGUCACACUCCUUGGCAUUGGAAUGCAAAGUGGGUGGUAAGUUUCAUGUAAAGGUAAACAUGCAAUUGAGACUGAUAGCACACAAGUACCAUGAGGGAAAUAUGAAAAGGACUUUGAAAAGAGAAUUAAAUGAGUUUGUAUUUGCUGAACACAAAGUAAACAGACUUGAUUUGCUUGGUGGGAGUGUUGCACUUGCUUGACAAGAGCUUUGGGCUGUGGGUGUAAUGAUUCUUUCUUUGCAUGCCAGUUUCUAUUUGUACAUCUGAUUACCUUUGCACAUGAAUGAUAAGUCUCCUGUGGGGGGUGGAUUGCAUGUGCAUGUAAUGAUUUGUGUUUUGAUAAAUGUGUCUGGUGUAUGUGUGUGUUCCUGUGCUUGGGGAUGCUUCCUUCCUUGGACUUACAAGCCCUGACACACACAUGCUGGCAAAAUGCUUCUGCUUGACCCGUCUUGAAACACGGACCAAGGAGUCUAACAGAUGUGCAAAGUUUGAAGGUGGUAUACCUUUGUGUGCAAUGAAAGUGUCAGCUGGGAUAUGUGCACCAGCACCCAAUUAAUUAGCGGACAGAGGUUUGAGUUGGAGCAUAUCUAUUAGGACCCGAAAGAUGGUGAACUAUGCCUGAACAGAAUGAAUUCAGAGGAAACUCUGAUGGAGGUUCGUAUCGAUACUGACGUGCAAAUCGUUCGUCAUAUUUGGGUAUAGGGGCGAAAGACUAAUCGAACCAUCUAGUAGCUGGUUCCCUCCGAAGUUUCCCUCAGGAUAGCUGGAGUUGCUCAGUUUUAUCAGGUAAAGCGAAUGAUUAGAGGAAUUGGGGACAGGUUUGUCUUUGACCUAUUCUCAAA